Molecule: ribosomal RNA, 257 nt
Filed under: uncultured bacterium
Lineage: Bacteria
Description: partial 16S ribosomal RNA
Rfam family: Bacterial small subunit ribosomal RNA
Source: RNAcentral
GUCCGCACUGUAAACGAUGAUUACUCGCUGCUAGAGGGCAACUUUUAGUGGCUUAGCGAAAGCGAUAAGUAAUCCACCUGGGGAGUACGCCGGCAACGGUGAAACUCAAAGGAAUUGACGGGGCCCGCACAAGCGGAGGAGCAUGUGGUUUAAUUCGAUGAUACGCGAGGAACCUUACCAGGGCUUGAAAGUUAGGGAAUGGAUCUGAAAGGAUUCAGUCAGCAAUGACCCGAAACUAGGUGCUGCAUGGCUGUCGU